Molecule: unclassified non-coding RNA, 342 nt
Filed under: soil metagenome
Description: partial contains 5.8S ribosomal RNA, internal transcribed spacer 2, and large subunit ribosomal RNA
Rfam family: 5.8S ribosomal RNA (bases 1-120)
Source: RNAcentral
GAUGAAGAACGUAGCGAAAUGCGAUAAGUAAUGUGAAUUGCAGAAUUCAGUGAAUCAUCGAAUCUUUGAACGCACAUUGCGCCCGCCAGCACUCUGGCGGGCAUGCCUGUUCGAGCGUCAUUUCAACCAUCAAGCCCCCAGGGGCUUGUGCUGGGGCCCUGCGGCUGCCCGCAGGCCCUGAAAACCAGUGGCGGGCUCGCUAGUCACACCGAGCGCAGUAGCACAUCUCUCUCAGGGCGUGCGGCGGGCUCCUGCCGUGAAACCCCCCACUGUAACCCCAAAGGUUGACCUCGGAUCAGGUAGGAAUACCCGCUGAACUUAAGCAUAUCAAUAAGCGGAGGA